AUUGAACGCUGGCGGCAGGCCUAACACAUGCAAGUCGAGCGGAUGAAGGGAGCUUGCUCCUGGAUUCAGCGGCGGACGGGUGAGUAAUGCCUAGGAAUCUGCCUGGUAGUGGGGGAUAACGUCCGGAAACGGGCGCUAAUACCGCAUACGUCCUGAGGGAGAAAGUGGGGGAUCUUCGGACCUCACGCUAUCAGAUGAGCCUAGGUCGGAUUAGCUAGUUGGUGGGGUAAAGGCCUACCAAGGCGACGAUCCGUAACUGGUCUGAGAGGAUGAUCAGUCACACUGGAACUGAGACACGGUCCAGACUCCUACGGGAGGCAGCAGUGGGGAAUAUUGGACAAUGGGCGAAAGCCUGAUCCAGCCAUGCCGCGUGUGUGAAGAAGGUCUUCGGAUUGUAAAGCACUUUAAGUUGGGAGGAAGGGCAGAAAGUUAAUACCUUGCUGUUUUGACGUUACCAACAGAAUAAGCACCGGCUAACUUCGUG
This 484-nucleotide ribosomal RNA is filed under the name uncultured bacterium. RNAcentral describes it as "partial 16S ribosomal RNA". It matches the Rfam family "Bacterial small subunit ribosomal RNA", at positions 30 to 507 of the family's 1533-position model. The record is from RNAcentral.